UACAGAGGCCCCAAGCGUUAGGCGGAAUCACUGGGCUUAAAGCGUGUGUAGGCGGACUUCUAAGUACCUUGUGAAAUCCCACGGCUCAACCGUGGAACUGCUGGGUAUACUGGUUGUCUUGAGCCAGCUAGGGGCGAGCGGAACAGACGGUGGAGCGGUGAAAUGCGUAGAUAUCGUCUGGAACGCCGAAGGUGAAAACAGCUCGCUGGGGCUGCGCUGACGCUGAGACACGAAAGCCAGGGGAGCGAACGGG
This 253-nucleotide ribosomal RNA is filed under the name uncultured bacterium. RNAcentral describes it as "partial 16S ribosomal RNA". It matches the Rfam family "Bacterial small subunit ribosomal RNA", at positions 524 to 776 of the family's 1533-position model. The record is from RNAcentral.